Molecule: unclassified non-coding RNA, 378 nt
Filed under: Ficus populifolia
Lineage: Eukaryota; Viridiplantae; Streptophyta; Magnoliopsida; Rosales; Moraceae
Description: partial contains external transcribed spacer and 18S ribosomal RNA
Source: RNAcentral
UUGCCUUCCCGUCGAAUGGAAAAUUUCGUGAGAUAGCCCCGCCCCUUUCCCCCUUGUGGCUUUGCGGCURCAAAGUGGACCUCGAAAGCAGUGCCUGUGUCCCGGGCAUAUCCGCUGACUGUUGUCGUGGCUGUCUCGGUCCACAGGACGACUGCUCGUGCUCUCGGAUGUGGAAAAUUAAGCGGACACGGGGGGUCUCGGCCUCCGGUUGCUCCCAAUCAAGUCCCUCGAUAGGAAUGACUUUCGAUGCCCUCAUUGAUCGCAGGCCGUCUUGGCCCGUGGCAUCAAUGCGGGUCCGAAGUCGAGAAAGGAUGCUACCUGGUUGAUCCUGCCAGUAGUCAUAUGCUUGUCUCAAAGAUUAAGCCAUGCAUGUGUAAG